ACUCCUACGGGAGGCAGCAGUGGGGAAUAUUGGACAAUGGGCGAAAGCCUGAUCCAGCAAUGCCGCGUGAGUGAUGAAGGCCUUAGGGUUGUAAAGCUCUUUUACCCGGGAUGAUAAUGACAGUACCGGGAGAAUAAGCUCCGGCUAACUCCGUGCCAGCAGCCGCGGUAAUACGGAGGGAGCUAGCGUUAUUCGGAAUUACUGGGCGUAAAGCGCACGUAGGCGGCUUUGUAAGUUAGAGGUGAAAGCCUGGAGCUCAACUCCAGAAUUGCCUUUAAGACUGCAUCGCUUGAAUCCAGGAGAGGUGAGUGGAAUUCCGAGUGUAGAGGUAAAAUUCGUAGAUAUUCGGAAGAACACCAGUGGCGAAGGCGGCUCACUGGACUGGUAUUGACGCUGAGGUGCGAAAGCGUGGGGAGCAAAC
RNAcentral lists this ribosomal RNA (421 nucleotides) under uncultured bacterium. RNAcentral describes it as "bacterial SSU rRNA". It matches the Rfam family "Bacterial small subunit ribosomal RNA", at positions 335 to 773 of the family's 1533-position model. The record is from RNAcentral.